Non-coding RNA from Musa acuminata subsp. malaccensis (wild Malaysian banana), 1711 nucleotides. Lineage: Eukaryota; Viridiplantae; Streptophyta; Magnoliopsida; Zingiberales; Musaceae. The record is from RefSeq and is a predicted model, not a curated record.
GAAUGCCUGCUGAAGACAAUAGGGAUACAGGCGGCUUAGAGUUGCACAUUAACUGGAGGAAGAUGGCCCUUCCUGAUACCUGGCAAGGAAUCUUUUGUAUGCAUGUUGUGAAACCUGAACCAUAUGCCAACAGCAGUCAGAAGGAAAUAGAAACUUAUCGAUGUAGUAGUCUAAAGUUGGUAGGUAUUAGGCGCAUGAAAUCUGAAACAUGUAAUGGAAGUUCUAAGGGUGAAGCUUUCAGGGUAGCUGAUCCCUUUGAUCAGAAAUUACUGUCAGGCAAAUUGGUGAAAUCAGAGCCACCAAAAGAAUUCAAAAGGAAGUCACCAGUUAUGGCAUUGGACUAUCACCAGUUGAUGUCCCCACUUGCAUGGAGUUGCCCUCAGGUAAAGCUUAAACCAGUGGUUUUGGAUUUUAAUGCUGCACAUGAUGUGAAUAUGCUUUGUGAUGAUAGUCCAGUCAUGGCUGGUAAUGCGACAAUAAGUUCAGGUGAAAGCACUCAAGGAGCCUUGGCUCCAGCCACAGUAUCAGUUCCUAGUAUAUCUUGUAAAGCUGAGGAUGUGAUCUCUGACAUUAGAAGGGAGUACUGGUAGAUUAAUAAAUUUUGUCAUGGAUAUGUCAUUGCUGUUGCAGAAGGAUGCAAUGGUGGAGACCAAAAUUCAUCAAAUUGUUCACAUGGCUUCUAAGCUGCAUGAUGAAUGUGUGGUUUCUGAUGUUAGAGAGCCCAUGGCUUGUGAUGGUCUCAUAUCAAGAUUGCACCGAAAUGGACUGCUCAGAUGGUGAGUAUAUUAUACUUCAUCUGAAUUGGUUGCUGGAGAUGAUCAUCGUUGUAUGGAUCCUCACAUAAAGAGUGUACCGUAAGUGUUGGAAGUGUUAAAGGGGCAUGCGUUUGUCUGCUGAUGGUGAUAGUAAACUUCAGCAUCCUGUGCCGCAACAUUCACAAGGAUUCAUGUGAGCUGAAGAAAAAGAGAAUAUGGAAAUGUUCACAAGGAUUCAUGUGAGCAUGAAUAAGAGAAUAUGGAAAUGCUAAAAUGCAGUGGUCAUAGUGCUACAAACUUUUGAUGGAAGUAUAGUGGAGAUGAUAGAUUUGCAUGAAUCAUCAGUAAGAGAUUUACUAAACCUUCUAGGGGUUCAGAGAUGAAGUCCAAGUUCAUCAAACCACCUAUAGUGCAAUUGCAAAAAGUAGCGAGGAUUAGAAAGUGAACAUUGGAGAUGCCGUCGUGUCUUUGAGCAUUCAGAACUGCAAGAACGAGAUUUAGAUGCAAGUGGCAGUAAUCAUGUUGACGAUGGGGGUAGGCAUGGACAAAUCAAGAAGGCAAGCUUACCUGCUUUUAGUUGGAUAUUUGGUCAGAGUUGCAUCAGGAUUCAAUAUUUAUGAUCUGCAGUGGCCAACGGAUUGUAAGGUAAUAGUUCUCAGCUGUUGUUGCUGCUGCUAUGAUCUUAGUUUUUGUUUUGACAUAUAUGGUUUUUCUUCAUCCAUAGUUUAGGCCUUCGGAAUCUGUACUUUGGUGGUGAUUUCAAUACUCUUCAUCGAACAUUUCAGAAGCUCAGCAAAAAAUUUCAAACCUGCAUUUCUGUUCUUCGACAUGCUGUUGCUGAUGUGGUUUUUGGGGUUCUAUGUCUAUGAUUUGGUAAAACUUUUUGUGAUCUUUUGAAGGAGAUGAGUUGUGUAUUUUAGCAUGUGGACUCUGUAGAGAUACCUGUUUUUGCAUUA